GUUAACGCUGGCGGUAUGUAUAAUACAUGCAAGUCGAGCGCCCAGCACUCUGUCUUUAAAAUAUUAAAGGUAGAGUGCUGGGAGCGGCGAACGGCUGAGUAACACGUUGGUAAUUCCCCCGAACUCAGGGAUACCCUCUAGAAAUAGAGGUUAAUACCGGAUGGUCUCGAAAGAGUAAAGAUUUUUCGGUUCGGGAAAUGCCUGCGGCCUAUCAGUUAGUUGGUGAGGUAACGGCUCACCAAGACUAUGACGGGUAGCUGGUCUGAGAGGACGACCAGCCAGAAUGGGACUGAGACACGGCCCAUACUCCUACGGGAGGCAGCAGUAAAGAAUCUUCCACAAUGGGCGAAAGCCUGAUGGAGCAAUACCGCGUGGGCGAUGAAGGCCGAAAGGUCGUAAAGCCCUUUUCUGAGGGGAUAAUUCUGAAGGUACCUCAGGAAUAAGCACCGGCUAACUCCGU
RNAcentral lists this ribosomal RNA (460 nucleotides) under uncultured bacterium. RNAcentral's name for it is "bacterial SSU rRNA". It matches the Rfam family "Bacterial small subunit ribosomal RNA", at positions 29 to 506 of the family's 1533-position model. The record is from RNAcentral.